UAUUGGAUGGGCCCGCGUAAGAUUAGCUAGUUGGUAAGGUAAAGGCUUACCAAGGCGACGAUCUUUAGCUGGUCUGAGAGGAUGGCCAGCCACAUCGGGACUGAGACACGGCCCGGACUCCUACGGGAGGCAGCAGUCGGGAAUAUUGGACAAUGGGCGCAAGCCUGAUCCAGCAAUACCGCGUGUGUGAAGAAGGCCUGCGGGUUGUAAAGCACUUUCAGUUGGGAAGAUAAUGACGUUACCAACAGAAGAAGCACCGGCUAACUCCGUGCCAGCAGCCGCGGUAAUACGGAGGGUGCAAGCGUUAAUCGGAAUUACUGGGCGUAAAGCGUGCGUAGGCGGCCUGUUAAGUCAGAUGUGAAAGCCCCGGGCUCAACCUGGGAACUGCAUCUGAUACUGGCAGGCUAGAAUUUAGGAGAGGGGAGUGGAAUUUCCGGUGUAGCGGUGAAAUGCAUAGAGAUCGGAAGGAACAUCAGUGGCGAAGGCGGCUCCCUGGACUAAAAUUGACGCUGAGGCACGAAAGCGUGGGUAGCAAACAGGAUUAGAUACCCUGGUAGUC
RNAcentral lists this ribosomal RNA (559 nucleotides) under uncultured bacterium. RNAcentral's name for it is "bacterial SSU rRNA". It matches the Rfam family "Bacterial small subunit ribosomal RNA", at positions 219 to 795 of the family's 1533-position model. The record is from RNAcentral.